UUUAUUUUAGACUUGUAUUUGAAAUUAGCAUGGUAUCGUGUGAAAUUUUUAUAUUAUUGACUUAAAAGAUUAAAAUCAAAUACUAAAUAUAUUACAAACAUUAAAAUAAAAUAACAAGACAAACAAAAAAAAUGUAAGGACUGACACUAAGUACUUACAUGGAAUUAAACAGAAAUUCUAUAUAAUUGAAGUAUACAAUUACAUAUAUAAGCCAAAUAUUAA
RNAcentral lists this long non-coding RNA (222 nucleotides) under Lathyrus oleraceus (garden pea). Its description in RNAcentral is "Pisum sativum (pea) long non-coding RNA (PSAT_LNC039094)". Lineage: Eukaryota; Viridiplantae; Streptophyta; Magnoliopsida; Fabales; Fabaceae. The record is from RNAcentral.